AUUGAACGCUAGCGGCAUGCCUUACACAUGCAAGUCGAACGGUAACAGGUCUUCGGAUGCUGACGAGUGGCGAACGGGUGAGUAAUACAUCGGAACGUGCCUAGUAGUGGGGGAUAACUACUCGAAAGAGUGGCUAAUACCGCAUGAGAUCUACGGAUGAAAGCAGGGGAUCGCAAGACCUUGUGCUACUAGAGCGGCCGAUGGCAGAUUAGGUAGUUGGUGGGAUAAAAGCUUACCAAGCCGACGAUCUGUAGCUGGUCUGAGAGGACGAUCAGCCACACUGGGACUGAGACACGGCCCAGACUCCUACGGGAGGCAGCAGUGGGGAAUUUUGGACAAGGGGCGAAAGCCUGAUCCAGCAAUGCCGCGUGCAGGAUGAAGGCCUUCGGGUUGUAAACUGCUUUUGUACGGAACGAAAAGCCCCGGGUUAAUACCCUGGGGUCAUGACGGUACCGUAAGAAUAAGCACCGGCUAACUACGUGCCAGCAGCCGCAGUAA
RNAcentral lists this ribosomal RNA (498 nucleotides) under uncultured bacterium. Its description in RNAcentral is "partial 16S ribosomal RNA". It matches the Rfam family "Bacterial small subunit ribosomal RNA", at positions 30 to 523 of the family's 1533-position model. The record is from RNAcentral.